AAGUCGUAACAAGGUUUCCGUAGGUGAACCUGCGGAAGGAUCAUUAUCGUUAGGGCUUUCCGGCCCUUGAUCGAGAUAGAACCCUUGCCUUUAUGAGUACCGUCCGUUUCCUCGGCAGGCCCGCCUGCCGAUGGACCCAAAACCAAACCCUUUUAUUACCUGUAUCAGUCUGUAAAAAUAAAUCAAAAAUUAAAA
RNAcentral lists this unclassified non-coding RNA (195 nucleotides) under plant metagenome. RNAcentral's name for it is "partial contains small subunit ribosomal RNA and internal transcribed spacer 1". The stretch from base 1 to 46 matches the Rfam family "Eukaryotic small subunit ribosomal RNA", at positions 1786 to 1831 of the family's 1831-position model. The record is from RNAcentral.